Molecule: ribosomal RNA, 465 nt
Filed under: uncultured bacterium
Lineage: Bacteria
Description: partial 16S ribosomal RNA
Rfam family: Bacterial small subunit ribosomal RNA
Source: RNAcentral
CCUACGGGAGGCAGCAGUAGGGAAUCUUCCACAAUGGACGAAAGUCUGAUGGAGCAACGCCGCGUGAGUGAAGAAGGGCUUCGGCUCGUAAAGCUCUGUUGGUAGUGAAGAAAGAUAGAGGUAGUAACUGGCCUUUAUUUGACGGUGCUUACUUAGAAAGUCACGGCUAACUACGUGCCAGCAGCCGCGGUAAUACGUAGGUGGCAAGCGUUGUCCGGAUUUAUUGGGCGAAAAGAGAGUGCAGGCGGUCCAAGAAGGCUGAUGUGAAAGCCUUCAGCUCAACCGGAGAAUGGCAUAAGAAACUGUUGAACUGGAGUGCAGGAGAGGGGAGUGGAACUACAUGUGUAGCGGUAGAAUGCGUAGAUAUAUGGAAGAACACCAGUGGCGAAGGCGGCUCUCUGGUCUGCAGCUGACGCUGAGGCUCGAAAGCAUGGGUAGCGAACAGGAUUAGAUACCCGUGUAGUC